CUACGUUUUAUACGAAAAAUAAAAUUUCGAUUCUAUAUGAAAAUUUUGUGAACUUUUCGUCAGAAAUUCGUAUUCUUUUUUACAAGAGAAAAUGACAAGUGAUAAGCAUCUCCAAUGAUUGCAGAAAAAUAUUUUAGAAAACUGUAGAAGUUAUUAAAGCCUA
This is a long non-coding RNA of Vespa mandarinia (Asian giant hornet), 163 nucleotides long. Lineage: Eukaryota; Metazoa; Arthropoda; Insecta; Hymenoptera; Vespidae. The record is from RefSeq and is a predicted model, not a curated record.